This 546-nucleotide long non-coding RNA is filed under the name Rosa chinensis. Its description in RNAcentral is "sRNA RchiOBHm_Chr7g0231081". The record is from RNAcentral. Lineage: Eukaryota; Viridiplantae; Streptophyta; Magnoliopsida; Rosales; Rosaceae.
UUAUCAAAGCUUACAAUAGAGUACAUGAUCAAAAAUAGAAGAAAUAUAUCUAAAUGCUAUCUUCUGUAUGAGUAAGCAUUGACCGAGAAGAAGGUGUGCAACACGUUAAAAAAAAGGGCUGGACAUUGGUCGAAAGAUUACCAAAAGAUGGAAGCUUCAAAAUUGGCCUUGUGGUUUUCUUUGUGACUCGCCUCCAAAAUCAGUGAAGAACCUCUGUAAAAAGAACAAUAUAGUUAGUAGCAAAAACAAAUAAAGACGUGCUAGCAGCAGUGAAAAAGGUCUUCAUAGAUAUAGUUGGUACCUUCAAAUGGUUGUGUUUGCAGUGAGAAGGAGGAUGAACGUAAUUACUUAAAUUUGGGCAUAAAGAAAUGAAUUGUGGCAACUGGCAUGUAGUUAAUUGUGGAUAUUUGUAAUCCAUUUGUACUUGCAGUUGGAACUGCAACCUUCAGUUGAGACUUGGACGUGGUCAUAAAUCAAGGAACAUGUAUGCUCUUUCUAACGUGGCCAAGGUUUGACACUUUGACCUAUUUUCUAGCAUAUGUCUGA